This 492-nucleotide ribosomal RNA is filed under the name uncultured bacterium. Its description in RNAcentral is "partial 16S ribosomal RNA". It matches the Rfam family "Bacterial small subunit ribosomal RNA", at positions 29 to 507 of the family's 1533-position model. The record is from RNAcentral.
AGUGAACGCUGGCGGUAGGCCUAACACAUGCGAGUCGAACGGCAGCACAGUAAGAGCUUGCUCUUACGGGUGGCGAGUGGCGGACGGGUGAGGAAUACAUCGGACUCUACUUUUUCGUGGGGGAUCACGUAGGGAAACUUACGCUAAUACCGCAUACGACCUACGGGUGAAAGCAGGGGAUCUUCGGACCUUGCGCGAUUGAAUGAGCCGAUGUCGGAUUAGCUAGUUGGCGGGGUAAAGGCCCACCAAGGCGACGAUCCGUAGCUGGUCUGAGAGGAUGAUCGGCCACACUGGAACUGAGACACGGUCCAGACUCCUACGGGAGGCAGCAGUGGGGAAUAUUGGACAAUGGGCGCAAGCCUGAUCCAGCCAUACCGCGUGGGUGAAGAAGGCCUUCGGGUUGUAAAGCCCUUUUGUUGGGAAAGAAAAGCAGCAGGUUAAUACCCCGCUGUUCUGACGGUACCCAAAGAAUAAGCACCGGCUAACUUCGUG